AUUGAACGCUGGCGGCAUGCUUUACACAUGCAAGUCGAACGGUAACAGGCCGCAAGGUGCUGACGAGUGGCGAACGGGUGAGUAAUGCAUCGGAACGUGCCCAGUCGUGGGGGAUAACGCAGCGAAAGCUGUGCUAAUACCGCAUACGAUCUCUGGAUGAAAGCGGGGAACCGAAAGGCCUCGCGCGAUUGGAGCGGCCGAUGUCAGAUUAGGUAGUUGGUGGGGUAAAGGCUCACCAAGCCAACGAUCUGUAGCUGGUCUGAGAGGACGAACAGCCACACUGGGACUGAGACACGGCCCAGACUCCUACGGGAGGCAGCAGUGGGGAAUUUUGGACAAUGGGCGCAAGCCUGAUCCAGCAAUGCCGCGUGCAGGAAGAAGGCCUUCGGGUUGUAAACUGCUUUUGUACGGAACGAAAAGGUCUGGGUUAAUACCCUGGGCACAUGACGGUACCGUAAGAAUAAGCACCGGCUAACUACGUGCCAGCCGCCGCCGUAA
RNAcentral lists this ribosomal RNA (498 nucleotides) under uncultured bacterium. Its description in RNAcentral is "partial 16S ribosomal RNA". It matches the Rfam family "Bacterial small subunit ribosomal RNA", at positions 30 to 523 of the family's 1533-position model. The record is from RNAcentral.